GUGUCAGCAGCCGCGGUAAUACGGAGGGGGCGAGCGUUAUUCGGAAUCACUGGGCGUAAAGCGUACGUAGGCGGCUUGGCAAGUCAGAAGUGAAAGCCCAGGGCUCAACCCUGGAAUUGCUUUUGAAACUGCCUCGCUAGAAUCCGGGAGAGGCCAGCGGAAUUUCCAGUGUAGAGGUGAAAUUCGUAGAUAUUGGAAGGAACACCAGUGGCGUAGGCGGCUGGCUGGACCGGUAUUGACGCGCAGGUACGAAAGUGUGGGGAGCAAACAGGAUUAGAUACCCUGGUAGUCCACACCGUAAACGAUGUGUGCUAGUUGUCGGGACCCUUAGGGUUUCGGUGACGCCGCUAACGCAUUAAGCACACCGCCUGGGGAGUACGGCCGCAAGGUUAAAACUUAAAUGAAUUGACGGGG
This 414-nucleotide ribosomal RNA is filed under the name uncultured prokaryote. RNAcentral describes it as "bacterial SSU rRNA". It matches the Rfam family "Bacterial small subunit ribosomal RNA", at positions 505 to 918 of the family's 1533-position model. The record is from RNAcentral.